GACGAACGCUUUCUUCUUUCUUCCCCCCUUCCCUUCGAACUUCAAGGCCCUGCUUUUUUUUUGUGCUCGAUUGGCGAACGGGUGAGUAACACGUGAGUAACCUUCCCUUGACUUUGGGAUAACUUCAGGAAACUGGGGCUAAUACCGGAUAGGAGCUCCUGCUGCAUGGUGGGGGUUGGAAAGUUUCGGCGGUUGGGGAUGGACUCGCGGCUUAUCAGCUUGUUGGUGGGGUAGUGGCUUACCAAGGCUUUGACUGGUCGCCGGCCUGAGAGGGUGACCGGCCACAUUGGGACUGAGAUACGGCCCAGACUCCUACGGGAGGCAGCAGUGGGGAAUAUUGCACAAUGGGCGGAAGCCUGAUGCAGCAACGCCGCGUGCGGGAUGAAGGCAUUCGGGUUGUAAACCGCUUUCGCCUGUGACGAAGCGUGAGUGACGGUAAUGGGUAAAGAAGCAAAGGAGAACUACGGG
RNAcentral lists this ribosomal RNA (468 nucleotides) under uncultured bacterium. Its description in RNAcentral is "partial 16S ribosomal RNA". It matches the Rfam family "Bacterial small subunit ribosomal RNA", at positions 28 to 507 of the family's 1533-position model. The record is from RNAcentral.